AUGAACGCUGGCGGCGUGCCUAAUACAUGCAAGUCGAGCGAACAGAUCAGGAGCUUGCUCCUUUGACGUAGGGGCGGACGGGUGAGUAACACGUGGGUAACCUUCCCUUUACGUUGGGAUAACUUCCGGAAACCGGGGCUAAUACCGGAUAACAAUUCGUACCGCAUGGUUUUUAAAGGAAAGGUUGGUUUGUUUUUACUUUUAGAGGGGCCCCUGCCGUUUUUGGUAGUUGGGUAGGUUGCGGCCUACCUAGGCGACGAGCAGUUGGCGAGCUGAGAGGGUGAUCGGCCACACUGGAACUGAGACACGGUCCAGACUCCUACGGGAGGCAGCAGUAGGGAAUCUUCCGCAAUGGGCGAAAGCCUGACGGAGCAACGCCGCGUGAGUGAUGAAGGGUUUCGGCUCGUAAAACUCUGUUAUUAGGGAAGAACAAAUGUGUAAGUAACUGUGCACGUCUUGACGGUACCUAAUCAGAAAGCCACGGCUAACUACGUG
RNAcentral lists this ribosomal RNA (495 nucleotides) under uncultured bacterium. RNAcentral describes it as "partial 16S ribosomal RNA". It matches the Rfam family "Bacterial small subunit ribosomal RNA", at positions 29 to 507 of the family's 1533-position model. The record is from RNAcentral.